CGCGGGAUGGAGCAGUCUGGUAGCUCGUCAGACUCUAAACUGAAGGUCGGAGGUUCGAAUCCUUCCCCCGCAACCA
RNAcentral lists this transfer RNA (76 nucleotides) under Acidiferrobacteraceae bacterium. RNAcentral describes it as "tRNA-OTHER". It matches the Rfam family "tRNA". Rfam says of the family: Transfer RNA (tRNA) molecules are approximately 80 nucleotides in length. Their secondary structure includes four short double-helical elements and three loops (D, anti-codon, and T loops). Further hydrogen bonds mediate the characteristic L-shaped molecular structure. tRNAs have two regions of fundamental functional importance: the anti-codon, which is responsible for specific mRNA codon recognition, and the 3' end, to which the tRNAs corresponding amino acid is attached (by aminoacyl-tRNA synthetases). tRNAs cope with the degeneracy of the genetic code in two manners: having more than one tRNA (with a specific anti-codon) for a particular amino acid; and 'wobble' base-pairing, i.e. permitting non-standard base-pairing at the 3rd anti-codon position. Lineage: Bacteria; Pseudomonadati; Pseudomonadota; Gammaproteobacteria; Acidiferrobacterales; Acidiferrobacteraceae. The record is from RNAcentral.